This 200-nucleotide ribosomal RNA is filed under the name uncultured bacterium. RNAcentral's name for it is "partial 16S ribosomal RNA". It matches the Rfam family "Bacterial small subunit ribosomal RNA", at positions 8 to 200 of the family's 1533-position model. The record is from RNAcentral.
AGAGUUUGAUCCUGGCUCAGGACGAACGCUGGCGGCGUGCCUAAUACAUGCAAGUCGAGCGGAUUGAUGAAGAAGCUUGCUUCUUCUGAAGUUAGCGGCGGACGGGUGAGUAACACGUAGGCAACCUGCCCUCUGGACUGGGAUAACUACCGGAAACGGUAGCUAAUACCAGAUAAUUCACUUCUUUGCAUGAGGGAGUG